CUUAAAUUGAAGAGUUUGAUCAUGGCUCAGAUUGAACGCUGGCGGCAGGCCUAACACAUGCAAGUCGAGCGGAAACGAGUUAUCUGAACCUUCGGGGAAGGAUAACGGCGUCGAGCGGCGGACGGGUGAGUAAUGCCUAGGAAAUUGCCCUGAUGU
RNAcentral lists this ribosomal RNA (156 nucleotides) under Vibrio parahaemolyticus. RNAcentral's name for it is "partial 16S ribosomal RNA". It matches the Rfam family "Bacterial small subunit ribosomal RNA", at positions 1 to 137 of the family's 1533-position model. The record is from RNAcentral. Lineage: Bacteria; Pseudomonadati; Pseudomonadota; Gammaproteobacteria; Vibrionales; Vibrionaceae.